This 253-nucleotide ribosomal RNA is filed under the name uncultured bacterium. Its description in RNAcentral is "partial 16S ribosomal RNA". It matches the Rfam family "Bacterial small subunit ribosomal RNA", at positions 524 to 776 of the family's 1533-position model. The record is from RNAcentral.
UACGAGGGGGCAAGCGUUGUUCGGAUUUAUUGGGCGUAAAGGGUGCGUAGGCGGUUUGGCAAGUCUUGUGUGAAAUCUUUGGGCUCAACCCAAAGCCUGCACAAGAAACUGCCGGGCUUGAGUAUGGGAGAGGUGAGUGGAAUUUCCGGUGUAGCGGUGAAAUGCGUAGAUAAUCGGAAGGAACACCUGUGGCGAAAGCGGCUCACUGGACCAUUACUGACGCUGAGGCACGAAAGCUAGGGGAGCAAACAGG